UGUCUUCUUAGUAUAAUACGUACAAGUGACUUCCAAUCACACAGUCUCGGUCAGACUCCGGGAGAAGAC
Molecule: transfer RNA, 69 nt
Filed under: Leptobrachium boringii (Emei moustache toad)
Lineage: Eukaryota; Metazoa; Chordata; Amphibia; Anura; Megophryidae
Description: tRNA-Gly
Source: RNAcentral